This 413-nucleotide ribosomal RNA is filed under the name Allobates femoralis group sp. ABGD cluster 9. RNAcentral describes it as "partial large subunit ribosomal RNA". It matches the Rfam family "Bacterial large subunit ribosomal RNA", at positions 1834 to 2457 of the family's 2925-position model. The record is from RNAcentral. Lineage: Eukaryota; Metazoa; Chordata; Amphibia; Anura; Aromobatidae.
CUUGAUCAAUUAUAAGAGGUCAAGCCUGCCCAGUGACAUUGUUCAACGGCCGCGGUAUCCUAACCGUGCGAAGGUAGCGUAAUCACUUGUCCUUUAAAUAAGGACUAGUAUGAACGGCUUCACGAAGGCUAUACUGUCUCCUUAAUCUAAUCAAUUAAACUAAUCUCCCCGUGAAGAAGCGGGGAUUCGUCUAUAAGACGAGAAGACCCUAUGGAGCUUUAAACAUCUAAGACACUUGAUUAUAUCUACUAAACUUCAUGCAACCUAUCAUUUUGUCUUAAGUUUUAGGUUGGGGUGACCACGGAGAAAAAUUAAACCUCCACGUAGAAAGAAAAUUCUUUUCUAAGCAAAAAGCCACAUCUUAACGCAUCAAUAUAUUGACUUAAAUUGACCCAAUUUCUUGCUCAACGAAC